This 400-nucleotide ribosomal RNA is filed under the name uncultured bacterium. Its description in RNAcentral is "partial 16S ribosomal RNA". It matches the Rfam family "Bacterial small subunit ribosomal RNA", at positions 360 to 776 of the family's 1533-position model. The record is from RNAcentral.
AAUAUUGCACAAUGGGGGAAACCCUGAUGCAGCAACGCCGCGUGAGCGAUGAAGGCCUUCGGGUCGGAAAGCUCUGUCCUAAGGGCAGAACAAAUGACGGUACCUUAGGAGGAAGCCACGGCUCACUACGUGCCAGCCGCCGCGGUAAUACGUAGGGGGCAAUAGUGAUCCGGAAUCACUGGGCGUAAAGGGUGCGUAGGCGGUCGACAAAGUCUGGGGUGAAAGGCUACGGCUCAAACGUAGUAAGCCUUGGAAACUUGUGGACUUGAGUGCAGGAGAGGUAAGUGGAAUUCCUAGUGUAGCGGUGAAAUGCGUAGAUAUUAGGAGGAACACCAGUGGCGAAGGCGACUUACUGGACUGUAACUGACGCUGAGGCACGAAAGCGUGGGGAGCAAACAGG